CCCAUUCAUUCUCUAUGGGGCCAGAAGAGAUGCGGAGAGCACGCUAUGCCGCGCCUCCAAAAAAAACAUAGAACAUGUCCUAUUCUUGUCCGCAAUUGUGGACAAGAAUAAGCAGUUCGAUGGGGGUUGCCGGCCGGCCGUAUUGCGAAUCCGCAAUACACUACAGACGUGUGAAUGGACCCUUAAUCUGCUUUCACA
Molecule: long non-coding RNA, 198 nt
Organism: Bufo bufo (common toad)
Lineage: Eukaryota; Metazoa; Chordata; Amphibia; Anura; Bufonidae
Exons: 3
Source: RefSeq, a predicted model, not a curated record